This 60-nucleotide microRNA precursor is filed under the name Mus musculus (house mouse). RNAcentral describes it as "Mmu-Mir-3090_pre stem-loop". Lineage: Eukaryota; Metazoa; Chordata; Mammalia; Rodentia; Muridae. The record is from RNAcentral.
GUCUGGGUGGGGCCUGAGAUCCUGAAUUUCUAAUGAGCUCCCAGGUGACACCCUGACUCA